This 450-nucleotide ribosomal RNA is filed under the name uncultured bacterium. RNAcentral describes it as "bacterial SSU rRNA". It matches the Rfam family "Bacterial small subunit ribosomal RNA", at positions 354 to 796 of the family's 1533-position model. The record is from RNAcentral.
GUGGGGAAUUUUGGACAAUGGGCGAAAGCCUGAUCCAGCAAUGCCGCGUGUGUGAAGAAGGCCUUCGGGUUGUAAAGCACUUUUGGCAGGGAAGAAACAGUGCGUGCUAAUACCAUGCGCGAAUGACGGUACCUGCAGAAUAAGCACCGGCUAACUACGUGCCAGCAGCCGCGGUAAUACGUAGGGUGCAAGCGUUAAUCGGAAUUACUGGGCGUAAAGCGUGCGCAGGCGGCUUUGUAAGACGGAUGUGAAAGCCCCGGGCUCAACCUGGGAAGUGCAUUCGUGACUGCAAGGCUAGAGUGAGUCAGAGGGAGGUGGAAUUCCGCGUGUAGCAGUGAAAUGCGUAGAGAUGCGGAGGAACACCGAUGGCGAAGGCAGCCUCCUGGGAUAACACUGACGCUCAGGCACGAAAGCGUGGGGAGCAAACAGGAUUAGAAACCCGAGUAGUCC